UACGGGGGAUGCAAGCGUUAUCCGGAAUCAUUGGGUGUAAAGCGCCUGUAGGUUGUUUGAUAAGUCUGUUGUUAAAGCCUAGGGCUUAACCCUAGAAAAGCAAUGGAAACUACCAGACUAGAGUAUGGAAGGGGUAGAGGGAAUUUCUAGUGUAGCGGUGAAAUGCGUAGAUACUAGAAAGAACACCGGUGGCGAAGGCGCUCUACUGGAUCAUUACUGACACUCAGAGGCGAAAGCUAGGGUAGCAAAAGGGAUUAGAUACCCCUGUAGUCCUAGCCGUAAACGAUGGAUACUACAUGUUGCGUUUUUAAUGCAGUAUGGUAGCUAACGCGUUAAGUAUCCCGCCUGGGGAGUACGGUCGCAAGGCUG
Molecule: ribosomal RNA, 369 nt
Filed under: uncultured phototrophic eukaryote
Lineage: Eukaryota
Description: SSU rRNA
Rfam family: Bacterial small subunit ribosomal RNA
Source: RNAcentral